UCCCAGGUGGCUCAGUGGUAAAGAAUCUGCCUGUGAUGCAGGAGACCUGGGUUCCAUCCCUGGGUUGGGAA
This 71-nucleotide transfer RNA is filed under the name Bos taurus (domestic cattle). It matches the Rfam family "tRNA". Rfam says of the family: Transfer RNA (tRNA) molecules are approximately 80 nucleotides in length. Their secondary structure includes four short double-helical elements and three loops (D, anti-codon, and T loops). Further hydrogen bonds mediate the characteristic L-shaped molecular structure. tRNAs have two regions of fundamental functional importance: the anti-codon, which is responsible for specific mRNA codon recognition, and the 3' end, to which the tRNAs corresponding amino acid is attached (by aminoacyl-tRNA synthetases). tRNAs cope with the degeneracy of the genetic code in two manners: having more than one tRNA (with a specific anti-codon) for a particular amino acid; and 'wobble' base-pairing, i.e. permitting non-standard base-pairing at the 3rd anti-codon position. Lineage: Eukaryota; Metazoa; Chordata; Mammalia; Artiodactyla; Bovidae. RNAcentral also lists the same sequence under 3 other names. The record is from Rfam by way of RNAcentral.